This 999-nucleotide ribosomal RNA is filed under the name Comamonas kerstersii. RNAcentral's name for it is "bacterial SSU rRNA". It matches the Rfam family "Bacterial small subunit ribosomal RNA", at positions 33 to 1049 of the family's 1533-position model. The record is from RNAcentral. Lineage: Bacteria; Pseudomonadati; Pseudomonadota; Betaproteobacteria; Burkholderiales; Comamonadaceae.
CCGUGGGCGGCUGCUUACCAUGCAGUCGAACGAUGAUGCCCAGCUUGCUGGGUGGAUUAGUGGCGAACGGGUGAGUAACACGUGAGUAACCUGCCCUUGACUUCGGGAUAACUCCGGGAAACCGGGGCUAAUACCGGAUAUGAGCCGCCUUCGCAUGGGGGUGGUUGGAAAGUUUUUCGGUCAGGGAUGGGCUCGCGGCCUAUCAGCUUGUUGGUGGGGUGAUGGCCUACCAAGGCGACGACGGGUAGCCGGCCUGAGAGGGCGACCGGCCACACUGGGACUGAGACACGGCCCAGACUCCUACGGGAGGCAGCAGUGGGGAAUAUUGCACAAUGGGCGAAAGCCUGAUGCAGCGACGCCGCGUGAGGGAUGAAGGCCUUCGGGUUGUAAACCUCUUUCAGCAGGGAAGAAGCGCAAGUGACGGUACCUGCAGAAGAAGCGCCGGCUAACUACGUGCCAGCAGCCGCGGUAAUACGUAGGGCGCAAGCGUUGUCCGGAAUUAUUGGGCGUAAAGAGCUCGUAGGCGGUUUGUCGCGUCUGGUGUGAAAACUCGAGGCUCAACCUCGAGCUUGCAUCGGGUACGGGCAGACUAGAGUGCGGUAGGGGAGACUGGAAUUCCUGGUGUAGCGGUGGAAUGCGCAGAUAUCAGGAGGAACACCGAUGGCGAAGGCAGGUCUCUGGGCCGCAACUGACGCUGAGGAGCGAAAGCAUGGGGAGCGAACAGGAUUAGAUACCCUGGUAGUCCAUGCCGUAAACGUUGGGCACUAGGUGUGGGGCUCAUUCCACGAGUUCCGUGCCGCAGCAAACGCAUUAAGUGCCCCGCCUGGGGAGUACGGCCGCAAGGCUAAAACUCAAAGGAAUUGACGGGGGCCCGCACAAGCGGCGGAGCAUGCGGAUUAAUUCGAUGCAACGCGAAGAACCUUACCAAGGCUUGACUUGCACGAGAAGCCACCAAAGAUGGUGGUCUCUUUGGACACUCGUGCACAGGGGGUGCAUGGU